ACGAACGCUGGCGGCGUGCCUAAUACAUGCAAGUCGAACGAACGGAGGAAGAGCUUGCUCUUCCAAAGUUAGUGGCGGACGGGUGAGUAACACGUGGGCAACCUGCCUGUAAGUUGGGGAUAACUCCGGGAAACCGGGGCUAAUACCGAAUGAUARARUGUGGCGCAUGCCACGCUUUUGAAAGAUGGUUUCGGCUAUCGCUUACAGAUGGGCCCGCGGUGCAUUAGCUAGUUGGUAGGGUAAUGGCCUACCAAGGCAACGAUGCAUAGCCGACCUGAGAGGGUGAUCGGCCACACUGGGACUGAGACACGGCCCAGACUCCUACGGGAGGCAGCAGUAGGGAAUCUUCCGCAAUGGACGAAAGUCUGACGGAGCAACGCCGCGUGUAUGAAGAAGGUUUUCGGAUCGUAAAGUACUGUUGUUAGAGAAGAACAAGGAUAAGAGUAACUGCUUGUCCCUUGACGGUAUCUAACCAGAAAGCCACGGCUAACUAC
This 494-nucleotide ribosomal RNA is filed under the name Listeria monocytogenes. Its description in RNAcentral is "bacterial SSU rRNA". It matches the Rfam family "Bacterial small subunit ribosomal RNA", at positions 29 to 504 of the family's 1533-position model. Lineage: Bacteria; Bacillati; Bacillota; Bacilli; Caryophanales; Listeriaceae. The record is from RNAcentral.